Molecule: ribosomal RNA, 478 nt
Filed under: uncultured bacterium
Lineage: Bacteria
Description: partial 16S ribosomal RNA
Rfam family: Bacterial small subunit ribosomal RNA
Source: RNAcentral
GAUGAGCGCUAGCGGGAGGCCUAACACAUGCAAGCCGAGCGGUAGAGUUUCUUCGGAAACUUGAGAGCGGCGCACGGGUGCGUAACACGUGUGCAACCUACCUUUAUCUGGGGGAUAGCCUUUCGAAAGGAAGAUUAAUACCCCAUAAUAUAAUGAUUGGCAUCAAUUAUUAUUGAAAACUCCGGUGGAUAGAGAUGGGCACGCGCAAGAUUAGAUAGUUGGUGAGGUAACGGCUCACCAAGUCAAUGAUCUUUAGGGGUCCUGAGAGGGAGAUCCCCCACACUGGUACUGAGACACGGACCAGACUCCUACGGGAGGCAGCAGUGAGGAAUAUUGGACAAUGGGUGAGAGCCUGAUCCAGCCAUCCCGCGUGAAGGAUGACGGUCCUAUGGAUUGUAAACUUCUUUUGUACAGGGAUAACCUACCCUCGUGAGGGUAGCUGAAGGUACUGUACGAAUAAGCACCGGCUAACUCCGUG